AGUAGCGGCGAGCGAACGGGGAGGAGCCCAGAGCCUGAAUCAGUGUGUGUGUUAGUGGAAGCGUCUGGAAAGGCGCGCGAUACAGGGUGACAGCCCCGUACACAAAAAUGCACAUGCUGUGAGCUCGAUGAGUAGGGCGGGACACGUGGUAUCCUGUCUGAAUAUGGGGGGACCAUCCUCCAAGGCUAAAUACUCCUGACUGACCGAUAGUGAACCAGUACCGUGAGGGAAAGGCGAAAAGAACCCCGGCGAGGGGAGUGAAAAAGAACCUGAAACCGUGUACGUACAAGCAGUGGGAGCACAGAGCAAUCUGUGUGACUGCGUACCUUUUGUAUAAUGGGUCAGCGACUUAUAUUCUGUAGCAAGGUUAACCGAAUAGGGGAGCCGAAGGGAAACCGAGUCUUAACUGGGCGUUAAGUUGCAGGGUAUAGACCCGAAACCCGGUGAUCUAGCCAUGGGCAGGUUGAAGGUUGGGUAACACUAACUGGAGGACCGAACCGACUAAUGUUGAAAAAUUAGCGGAUGACUUGUGGCUGGGGGUGAAAGGCCAAUCAAACCGGGAGAUAGCUGGUUCUCCCCGAAAGCUAUUUAGGUAGCGCCUCGUGAAUUCAUCUCCGGGGGUAGAGCACUGUUUCGGCAAGGGGGUCAUCCCGACUUACCAACCCGAUGCAAACUGCGAAUACCGGAGAAUGUUAUCACGGGAGACACACGGCGGGUGCUAACGUCCGUCGUGAAGAGGGAAACAACCCAGACCGCCAGCUAAGGUCCCAAAGUCAUGGUUAAGUGGGAAACGAUGUGGGAAGGCCCAGACAGCCAGGAUGUUGGCUUAGAAGCAGCCAUCAUUUAAAGAAAGCGUAAUAGCUCACUGGUCGAGUCGGCCUGCGCGGAAGAUGUAACGGGGCUAAACCAUGCACCGAAGCUGCGGCAGCGACGCUGAUGCGUUGUUGGGUAGGGGAGCGUUCUGUAAGCCUGUGAAGGUGUGCUGUGAGGCAUGCUGGAGGUAUCAGAAGUGCGAAUGCUGACAUAAGUAACGAUAAAGCGGGUGAAAAGCCCGCUCGCCGGAAGACCAAGGGUUCCUGUCCAACGUUAAUCGGGGCAGGGUGAGUCGACCCCUAAGGCGAGGCCGAAAGGCGUAGUCGAUGGGAAACAGGUUAAUAUUCCUGUACUUGGUGUUACUGCGAAGGGGGGACGGAGAAGGCUAUGUUGGCCGGGCGACGGUUGUCCCGGUUUAAGCGUGUAGGCUGGUUUUCCAGGCAAAUCCGGAAAACUAAGGCUGAGGCGUGAUGACGAGGCACUACGGUGCUGAAGCAACAAAUGCCCUGCUUCCAGGAAAAGCCUCUAAGCAUCAGGUAACAUCAAAUCGUACCCCAAACCGACACAGGUGGUCAGGUAGAGAAUACCAAGGCGCUUGAGAGAACUCGGGUGAAGGAACUAGGCAAAAUGGUGCCGUAACUUCGGGAGAAGGCACGCUGAUAUGUAGGUGAAGUCCCUCGCGGAUGGAGCUGAAAUCAGUCGAAGAUACCAGCUGGCUGCAACUGUUUAUUAAAAACACAGCACUGUGCAAACACGAAAGUGGACGUAUACGGUGUGACGCCUGCCCGGUGCCGGAAGGUUAAUUGAUGGGGUCAGCGCAAGCGAAGCUCUUGAUCGAAGCCCCGGUAAACGGCGGCCGUAACUAUAACGGUCCUAAGGUAGCGAAAUUCCUUGUCGGGUAAGUUCCGACCUGCACGAAUGGCGUAAUGAUGGCCAGGCUGUCUCCACCCGAGACUCAGUGAAAUUGAACUCGCUGUGAAGAUGCAGUGUACCCGCGGCAAGACGGAAAGACCCCGUGAACCUUUACUAUAGCUUGACACUGAACAUUGAGCCUUGAUGUGUAGGAUAGGUGGGAGGCUUUGAAGUGUGGACGCCAGUCUGCAUGGAGCCGACCUUGAAAUACCACCCUUUAAUGUUUGAUGUUCUAACGUUGACCCGUAAUCCGGGUUGCGGACAGUGUCUGGUGGGUAGUUUGACUGGGGCGGUCUCCUCCUAAAGAGUAACGGAGGAGCACGAAGGUUGGCUAAUCCUGGUCGGACAUCAGGAGGUUAGUGCAAUGGCAUAAGCCAGCUUGACUGCGAGCGUGACGGCGCGAGCAGGUGCGAAAGCAGGUCAUAGUGAUCCGGUGGUUCUGAAUGGAAGGGCCAUCGCUCAACGGAUAAAAGGUACUCCGGGGAUAACAGGCUGAUACCGCCCAAGAGUUCAUAUCGACGGCGGUGUUUGGCACCUCGAUGUCGGCUCAUCACAUCCUGGGGCUGAAGUAGGUCCCAAGGGUAUGGCUGUUCGCCAUUUAAAGUGGUACGCGAGCUGGGUUUAGAACGUCGUGAGACAGUUCGGUCCCUAUCUGCCGUGGGCGCUGGAGAACUGAGGGGGGCUGCUCCUAGUACGAGAGGACCGGAGUGGACGCAUCACUGGUGUUCGGGUUGUCAUGCCAAUGGCACUGCCCGGUAGCUAAAUGCGGAAGAGAUAAGUGCUGAAAGCAUCUAAGCACGAAACUUGCCCCGAGAUGAGUUCUCCCUGACUCCUUGAGAGUCCUGAAGGAACGUUGAAGACGACGACGUUGAUAGGCCGGGUGUGUAAGCGCAGCGAUGCGUUGAGCUAACCGGUACUAAUGAACCGUGAGGCUUAACCUUAC
This 2668-nucleotide ribosomal RNA is filed under the name Escherichia coli O111:H8 str. CFSAN001632. RNAcentral's name for it is "bacterial LSU rRNA". It matches the Rfam family "Bacterial large subunit ribosomal RNA". The record is from RNAcentral. Lineage: Bacteria; Pseudomonadati; Pseudomonadota; Gammaproteobacteria; Enterobacterales; Enterobacteriaceae.